RNAcentral lists this microRNA precursor (168 nucleotides) under Oryza brachyantha (malo sina). Its description in RNAcentral is "MIR812 microRNA precursor family". It matches the Rfam family "MIR812 microRNA precursor family", at positions 27 to 191 of the family's 205-position model. The record is from Rfam by way of RNAcentral. Lineage: Eukaryota; Viridiplantae; Streptophyta; Magnoliopsida; Poales; Poaceae.
UACAAUGUUUUAACUCUUCAUUUUAUUUAAAAUUAUUUUGCAAUUAAUAUUUUUAUUCUUACUAGAUAAUAAAACAUGAAUAGUAGUUUUAUGUAACUAUUUUUUUAAAUUUUUAUACAAAUUUUUUAAAUAAGACGAAUGGUCAAAGGGGUUGGACACCAAAAUCGA